Molecule: ribosomal RNA, 239 nt
Filed under: uncultured bacterium
Lineage: Bacteria
Description: partial 16S ribosomal RNA
Rfam family: Bacterial small subunit ribosomal RNA
Source: RNAcentral
AGCGGCGGACGGGUGAGUAACGCGUGGGUAACCUGCCUCAUACAGGGGGAUAACAGUUGGAAACGGCUGCUAAUACCGCAUAAGCGCACAGUACCGCAUGGUACGUGUGAAAAACUCCGGUGGUAUGAGAUGGACCCGCGUCUGAUUAGCUAGUUGGUGGGGUAACGGCCUACCAAGGCGGCGAUCAGUAGCCGACCUGAGAGGGUGACCGGCCACAUUGGGACUGAGACACGGCCCAA